This 440-nucleotide ribosomal RNA is filed under the name uncultured bacterium. RNAcentral's name for it is "bacterial SSU rRNA". It matches the Rfam family "Bacterial small subunit ribosomal RNA", at positions 958 to 1398 of the family's 1533-position model. The record is from RNAcentral.
AACGCGAAGAACCUUACCUACCCUUGACAUCCAACGAAGACUGCAGAGAUGCGGAUGUGCCGAAAGGAACGUUGAGACAGGUGCUGCAUGGCUGUCGUCAGCUCGUGUUGUGAGAUGUUGGGUUAAGUCCCGUAACGAGCGCAACCCUUAUCCUUAGUUGCCAACAUGUAAUGGUGGGGACUCUAAGGAGACUGCCGGUGAUGAACCGGAGGAAGGCGGGGACGACGUCAAGUCAUCAUGGCCUUUAUGGGUAGGGCUACACACGUGCUACAAUGGACAGUACAGAGGGCAGCGAAAGCGCGAGCUGGAGCCAAUCCCGAAAAGCUGUUCGUAGUCCGGAUCGGAGUCUGCAACUCGACUCCGUGAAGUCGGAAUCGCUAGUAAUCGCGAAUCAGAAUGUCGCGGUGAAUACGUUCCCGGGCCUUGUACACACCGGAGUA